CAGUAGCCGCGGUAAAACGUAGGUGGCGAGCGUUGUCCGGAAUCAUUGGGCGUAAAGGGAGCGCAGGCGGGCAUGUAAGUCUUUCUUAAAAGUUCGGGGCUCAACCCCGUGAUGGGAAAGAAACUACAUGUCUUGAGUACAGGAGAGGAAAGCGGAAUUCCCAGUGUAGCGGUGAAAUGCGUAGAUAUUGGGAGGAACACCAGUGGCGAAGGCGGCUUUCUGGACUGCAACUGACGCUGAGGCUCGAAAGCCAGGGGAGCGAACGGGAUUAGAUACCCGCGUAGUCCCUGUCUCUUAUACA
RNAcentral lists this ribosomal RNA (301 nucleotides) under uncultured bacterium. RNAcentral's name for it is "partial 16S ribosomal RNA". It matches the Rfam family "Bacterial small subunit ribosomal RNA", at positions 509 to 809 of the family's 1533-position model. The record is from RNAcentral.